UUGAUCUAUUGUGAACCCUAAAUACCUC
Molecule: non-coding RNA, 28 nt
Filed under: Bombyx mori (domestic silkworm)
Lineage: Eukaryota; Metazoa; Arthropoda; Insecta; Lepidoptera; Bombycidae
Source: RNAcentral